RNAcentral lists this ribosomal RNA (473 nucleotides) under uncultured microorganism. RNAcentral's name for it is "bacterial SSU rRNA". It matches the Rfam family "Bacterial small subunit ribosomal RNA", at positions 9 to 486 of the family's 1533-position model. The record is from RNAcentral.
GAGUUUGAUCGUGGCUCAGGAUGAACGCUGGCGGCGUGCUUAACACAUGCAAGUCGAACGAUGAUCCCAGCUUGCUGGGGGAUUAGUGGCGAACGGGUGAGUAACACGUGAGUAACCUGCCCUUGACUCUGGGAUAAGCCUGGGAAACUGGGUCUAAUACCGGAUAUGACCUUCCAUCGCAUGGUGGUUGGUGGAAAGCUUUUGUGGUUUUGGAUGGACUCGCGGCCUAUCAGCUUGUUGGUGAGGUAAUGGCUUACCAAGGCGACGACGGGUAGCCGGCCUGAGAGGGUGACCGGCCACACUGGGACUGAGACACGGCCCAGACUCCUACGGGAGGCAGCAGUGGGGAAUAUUGCACAAUGGGCGCAAGCCUGAUGCAGCGACGCCGCGUGAGGGAUGACGGCCUCGGUUGGUUAACCGUACUUUCCUAGUAGGUAAGGAAGACCGCGAACGGUAGGACGGUACCGUACGUC